RNAcentral lists this ribosomal RNA (331 nucleotides) under uncultured Anaerolineaceae bacterium. RNAcentral describes it as "bacterial SSU rRNA". It matches the Rfam family "Bacterial small subunit ribosomal RNA", at positions 1039 to 1382 of the family's 1533-position model. The record is from RNAcentral. Lineage: Bacteria; Bacillati; Chloroflexota; Anaerolineae; Anaerolineales; Anaerolineaceae.
UGCUGCAUGGCUGUCGUCAGCUCGUGUCGUGAGAUGUUCGGUUAAGUCCGCUAACGAGCGCAACCCUCGCUGUGUGUUACAAGUGUCACACGGAACUGCCGGUCAUAAACCGGAGGAAGGUGGGGAUGACGUCAAGUCAGCAUGGCCUUUAUAUCCUGGGCUACACACACGCUACAAUGGGAAGGGACAAUAGGUUGCGAAGCCGCGAGGCGGAGCCAAUCCAGCAAAACUUCCCUCAGUUCAGAUUGCAGGCUGCAACCCGCCUGCAUGAAGUUGGAGUUGCUAGUAAACGCAGGUCAGCCAUACUGCGUUGAAUACGUUCCCGGGGCUU